This 402-nucleotide ribosomal RNA is filed under the name uncultured bacterium. Its description in RNAcentral is "bacterial SSU rRNA". It matches the Rfam family "Bacterial small subunit ribosomal RNA", at positions 355 to 774 of the family's 1533-position model. The record is from RNAcentral.
UGGGGAAUAUUGCACAAUGGGGGAAACCCUGAUGCAGCGACGCCGCGUGAAGGAUGAAGUAUUUCGGUAUGUAAACUUCUAUCAGCAGGGAAGAAAAUGACGGUACCUGACUAAGAAGCCCCGGCUAACUACGUGCCAGCAGCCGCGGUAAUACGUAGGGGGCAAGCGUUAUCCGGAUUUACUGGGUGUAAAGGGAGCGUAGACGGCAGUGCAAGUCUGAAGUGAAAGCCCGGGGCUCAACCCCGGGACUGCUUUGGAAACUGUGCAGCUAGAGUGUCGGAGAGGCAAGCGGAAUUCCUAGUGUAGCGGUGAAAUGCGUAGAUAUUAGGAGGAACACCAGUGGCGAAGGCGGCUUGCUGGACGAUGACUGACGUUGAGGCUCGAAAGCGUGGGGAGCAAACA